CCUGGAUCAAGAGGCCAGCUAAGCUCCACCCUGGGUUGGGGACAGGUCUUUACCAAGAUAAGAGGAAGAAGUUGCAAAAUACGGUUCCAGAAAUAAAAACUACACGCAUACAUCCACAUGAAUUUCUGAGCAAGAUGCCAAGCCCUUCUCUGAAGCCAUGUGAAUUUUUCUCUUGUGCGUUUGUCAGCCUGAGUCCAAGCCAUCUUACUCUUUCCUCACUUCUGUCUGGUUUUGGUUAGCUGCUUCUUGGCAUUGCUUCCGCUGGAGCUGAGGGCGUCUGCUCCCCCCACCCACUCCCUCGCCUUUCUCAUCCCUCCUCUUUUCUUUCCUUUCCCUUUAAAAUGUCUCUUUUGGUAUUCUUUCUCCUGGGUCCCAUAAUGACUCCGAGGGAGUAAAAAGGGAGCAAAAUAAGAUUAAACGGUCUCUCACACCCACACUGUCCAUCUCCAUCAGAUAUUCACACAAAAUGUAAAGAGCAUGCUCCCAGGAAGAGCC
RNAcentral lists this long non-coding RNA (495 nucleotides) under Cricetulus griseus (Chinese hamster). Its description in RNAcentral is "lncRNA (ENSCGRG00015033823.1)". Lineage: Eukaryota; Metazoa; Chordata; Mammalia; Rodentia; Cricetidae. The record is from RNAcentral.